Molecule: ribosomal RNA, 640 nt
Filed under: uncultured bacterium
Lineage: Bacteria
Description: bacterial SSU rRNA
Rfam family: Bacterial small subunit ribosomal RNA
Source: RNAcentral
CCUACGGGAGGCAGCAGUGGGGAAUAUUGGACAAUGGGCGAAAGCCUGAUCCAGCCAUGCCGCGUGUGUGAAGAAGGCCUUCGGGUCGUAAAGCACUUUAAGUUGGGAGGAAGGGCUCAUAGCGAAUACCUGUGNGUUUUGACGUUACCAACAGAAUAAGCACCGGCUAACUUCGUGCCAGCAGCCGCGGUAAUACGAAGGGUGCAAGCGUUAAUCGGAAUUACUGGGCGUAAAGCGCGCGUAGGUGGCUUGAUAAGUUGGAUGUGAAAUCCCCGGGCUCAACCUGGGAACUGCAUCCAAAACUGUCUGGCUAGAGUGCGGUAGAGGGUAGUGGAAUUUCCAGUGUAGCGGUGAAAUGCGUAGAUAUUGGAAGGAACACCAGUGGCGAAGGCGACUACCUGGACUGACACUGACACUGAGGCGCGAAAGCGUGGGGAGCAAACAGGAUUAGAUACCCUGGUAGCCCACGCCGUAAACGAUGUCAACUAGACGUUGGGCUCCUUGAGAUCUUACUNGCGCAGCUAACGCAUUAAGUUGACCGCCUGGGGAGUACGGCCGCAAGGUUAAAACACAAACGAAUUGACGGGAGCCCGCACAAGCGGUGGAGCAUGUGGUUUAAUUCCAAGCAACACGAACAAUC